Molecule: non-coding RNA, 75 nt
Organism: Myotis lucifugus (little brown bat)
Lineage: Eukaryota; Metazoa; Chordata; Mammalia; Chiroptera; Vespertilionidae
Source: Rfam
GGCAAUUCUUGGAUGACACAGCCCAGAAUUGGGCUCCCUCCUCUCUGGUUCCGGGUGCAUCCCCCAAGAACUGCA